RNAcentral lists this unclassified non-coding RNA (7369 nucleotides) under Leguminivora glycinivorella. Its description in RNAcentral is "serine/threonine-protein kinase Genghis Khan, transcript variant X9". The record is from RNAcentral. Lineage: Eukaryota; Metazoa; Arthropoda; Insecta; Lepidoptera; Tortricidae.
GGAACGUCAAACAAAAUGGAUUCGACCGAGCCCUCUGGCUACCCCCGAGUAAAAUGUCCGCUUCGGGGACUUUUUAACUAAUUUAUUAACCCCUAAACUUAUCGAAAAAUUCAGGUACAUGCAACCAUGGAUCAAAGCAACACACACAAUAAACUGCCUUAAGUUUACGGUAGCUUUUCUACAUAUUAGUGUUAGUGUACGGACAUGCUAGUGUAGUGCAAGUGCAGAAUGUCGGACGACGAGGACUCUUCACCGGACUGGGCGCUGGUGCCCUCUAACAAUGUGCCAAUCCUGGGCAUCAAGCGUCUCAAGCAGAUCGAGACGUUGUUCCUCGCGCGGCGCCUCCAAGGGCACGCCGGGCUCAGCGUGGAGACGCUCCUCGACGUGUUGUUGGUGUUGUACGACGAGUGCUGUGGCAGCAGUUUGAGGAGGGAGAAGGCUGUUGCUGACUUCAUACAACACGUGAAGCCAGUGGCGACAGCCCUCAAACGGCUGCGGUUGUCGCGCGAUGACUUCGAGCUGGUUAAAGUGAUCGGCCGAGGCGCCUUCGGAGAGGUGUGCGUCGUCAGGGCGUCUUUUAUGCAGGGCACAGAUGCAGGCGCGAACACGGUGCCCGGUGGUACCGUUUCGACUACGACGGGCGAACGGGUGUACGCCAUGAAGAUACUCAACAAAUGGGAGAUGCUCAAGCGCGCGGAGACAGCAUGUUUUCAAGAGGAGCGAGAUGUGUUAGUGUAUGGAGACCGGCGGUGGAUCACCAACCUUCAUUACGCCUUUCAGGACGAACACAAUUUGUACCUGGUGAUGGACUACUACUGCGGAGGCGAUCUCCUGACCCUUCUAUCGAAGUUUGAGGACCGUCUACCCGAAGAUAUGGCCCGUUUCUACAUCGCUGAGAUGGUCCUCGCUGUACAGAGCGUCCAUGAACUACGAUAUGUGCACAGAGACAUCAAGCCAGAUAAUGUUUUGCUGGAUGCGAGCGGACACAUCAGACUCGCUGAUUUCGGCUCGUGCCUUCGACUGGGAGACGACGGGAAGGUACAAAGCAACGUUGCUGUUGGAACGCCUGAUUACAUAUCACCCGAGAUUCUUAGGGCGAUGGAAGACGGACAAGGAAGAUACGGCCCUGAAUGCGAUUGGUGGUCUUUAGGCGUGUGCAUGUACGAGAUGCUAUUCGGAGAGACGCCAUUCUACGCAGAGUCUCUUGUGGAAACAUACGGCAAGAUUAUGAACCACGCUCGUUCUUUCAGCUGUCCGCCGCCUCUAGAACAUGCUAAACAGGUGUCAGACGAGGCUACGGACUUGAUUAGGAAACUAAUAUGCGCUGCUGACCAAAGGCUGGGAAAGAAUGGCUUGCAAGAUUUCAAGAGCCACGGUUGGUUCGCUGGCUUAGAGUGGGAGGCGCUUCGAGAAGUGCAAGCACCCUUCGUUCCGGAUGUAGCAAGUCCCACUGACACUUCUAACUUCGAUGUUGAUGACACCGAUAUCAGAUUGUCAGAAGCAGUGCCACCGCCGUCAGCGUCAUCAGCGUUCUCGGGGCUACACCUGCCGUUCGUGGGGUUCACGUUCACGGCCGGCAGCCGCCUGUCCGACCUGGGCGCUCCGGCUACACCGCUCAGCCCCGCCAAGAAUGCUCCCAGCCAGGCUCCAUCAAACGCUGGCGACAGAGCAGCCCUAAAAGCCCUGGAGCGAGAAAACGCGCUUCUAGCACAAACCAUCGCCGAGUUAAGAUCUGGAGGCCAACCUUUGGACGCUGGGAGUGAAGAAUCGAUCACGUUGAAAGAGGAGCUCGCUGCACUAUCGAAAAGGAACGCAGAGUUAGAAGCGCAAGUACGGUGUUACGAGCAGCUCAGCGGUGGAGUAGCUCAGGAUCCAUCGGCGCCUCAAGAUCUAGUAACGAGAGUUCGAGAGCUGGAGGUGAUGGUCACAACCCUCAAUCUUGAGAAGGAGGAACUCGUCAAGGACAAAGUAGAUUCUUCUGAAAAGCUCAGGUUGCAGGACAAAGAACUGAAGGACGCCGUGGCGCAGCGGAAACUAGCUAUGACGGAGUACAACGAAGUGACGGACCGGCUGUCGGAGUUGCGGCAACAGAAACAAAAGUUAUCGAGACAGGUUCGCGAUAAAGAAGAGGAGCUAGAAGUGGCUAUGCAGAAGAUAGAUGCACUAAGACAGGAUAUUCGUCGCUCGGAUAAAGGUCGGCGAGAAUUAGAAGCGAGGCUCGACACUGCUAUUUCAGAGGCUACUAAAGAGCGCAAGCUGCGGGAAGAGACGCUCCGCUCCGUCCGAGCGGAGGCGGGCGCGGGAGCGGUGGCGGUGGCGGGCGGCGCGGCGGCCGACGUGGCGCGCCUGCAGGCCGAGGUGGACGCGCUCGAGUUGCAGUACAAAGAAUCGCUCGCGCAACAACAACAGCGGUACAACGCAGACCUCGCGUCGCUCAGAGAACAACUACACGAAGGAGAUGCGGUCAGGAGCGUGCUCAAUAGAGAGUUACAGACAUCGAAAGAUAAGCUGGAGAGCCGGCGGUUAGAACAGAUGAACGACAGUGAAGACAGACAGAUGCUUAUCAACGAGAACAGGAAACUCGCCAAGGACCUAGAUGCGAUGGCCGAAAACGGUCGCCGGUGGCAGGCGGAGCGAAGGCAGUUAGAAAUGGAGUUAGAGGAGCUCAGAGCUAAACGAGACACCAUGCAACACUGGGAAACUCAGAUAGCGGACAUCAUCCGAUGGGUGGCGGACGAGAAGGAGGCUCGAGGAUACUUGCAAGCGCUGGCUACUAAGAUGACCGAGGAACUGGAGUACCUCAAGAUUGCUUCGGCCACUCGCGGCACUAUCGCCGCCCCCGCGUCUCCACCGGCCGCCCCGGGCGCGCCCGGCGGCUGGCGGAACCGGCGCUCGCAGAAACUGGACAAGAUGGAGAUCCUCACGCUGCAGUCCAGCCUGCACUCCGAGAUACAGGCCAAGCAGCAAGUCGGCGAGGAGCUCAGCAGGACCCGGGCCGAGCUGCUGCACAGCCAGAGGUCAGUUAUACAACCGGCGCUCGCAGAAACUGGACAAGAUGGAGAUCCUCACGCUGCAGUCCAGCCUGCACUCCGAGAUACAGGCCAAGCAGCAAGUCGGCGAGGAGCUCAGCAGGACCCGGGCCGAGCUGCUGCACAGCCAGAGGUCAGUUAUACAACCGGCGCUCGCAGAAACUGGACAAGAUGGAGAUCCUCACGCUGCAGUCCAGCCUGCACUCCGAGAUACAGGCCAAGCAGCAAGUCGGCGAGGAGCUCAGCAGGACCCGGGCCGAGCUGCUGCACAGCCAGAGGUCAGUUAUACAACCGGCGCUCGCAGAAACUGGACAAGAUGGAGAUCCUCACGCUGCAGUCCAGCCUGCACUCCGAGAUACAGGCCAAGCAGCAAGUCGGCGAGGAGCUCAGCAGGACCCGGGCCGAGCUGCUGCACAGCCAGAGGUCAGUUAUACAACCGGCGCUCGCAGAAACUGGACAAGAUGGAGAUCCUCACGCUGCAGUCCAGCCUGCACUCCGAGAUACAGGCCAAGCAGCAAGUCGGCGAGGAGCUCAGCAGGACCCGGGCCGAGCUGCUGCACAGCCAGAGGUCAGUUAUACAACCGGCGCUCGCAGAAACUGGACAAGAUGGAGAUCCUCACGCUGCAGUCCAGCCUGCACUCCGAGAUACAGGCCAAGCAGCAAGUCGGCGAGGAGCUCAGCAGGACCCGGGCCGAGCUGCUGCACAGCCAGAGGUCAGUUAUACAACCGGCGCUCGCAGAAACUGGACAAGAUGGAGAUCCUCACGCUGCAGUCCAGCCUGCACUCCGAGAUACAGGCCAAGCAGCAAGUCGGCGAGGAGCUCAGCAGGACCCGGGCCGAGCUGCUGCACAGCCAGAGGUCAGUUAUACAACCGGCGCUCGCAGAAACUGGACAAGAUGGAGAUCCUCACGCUGCAGUCCAGCCUGCACUCCGAGAUACAGGCCAAGCAGCAAGUCGGCGAGGAGCUCAGCAGGACCCGGGCCGAGCUGCUGCACAGCCAGAGGUCAGUUAUACAACCGGCGCUCGCAGAAACUGGACAAGAUGGAGAUCCUCACGCUGCAGUCCAGCCUGCACUCCGAGAUACAGGCCAAGCAGCAAGUCGGCGAGGAGCUCAGCAGGACCCGGGCCGAGCUGCUGCACAGCCAGAGGUCAGUUAUACAACCGGCGCUCGCAGAAACUGGACAAGAUGGAGAUCCUCACGCUGCAGUCCAGCCUGCACUCCGAGAUACAGGCCAAGCAGCAAGUCGGCGAGGAGCUCAGCAGGACCCGGGCCGAGCUGCUGCACAGCCAGAGGUCAGUUAUACAACCGGCGCUCGCAGAAACUGGACAAGAUGGAGAUCCUCACGCUGCAGUCCAGCCUGCACUCCGAGAUACAGGCCAAGCAGCAAGUCGGCGAGGAGCUCAGCAGGACCCGGGCCGAGCUGCUGCACAGCCAGAGGUCAGUUAUACAACCGGCGCUCGCAGAAACUGGACAAGAUGGAGAUCCUCACGCUGCAGUCCAGCCUGCACUCCGAGAUACAGGCCAAGCAGCAAGUCGGCGAGGAGCUCAGCAGGACCCGGGCCGAGCUGCUGCACAGCCAGAGGUCAGUUAUACAACCGGCGCUCGCAGAAACUGGACAAGAUGGAGAUCCUCACGCUGCAGUCCAGCCUGCACUCCGAGAUACAGGCCAAGCAGCAAGUCGGCGAGGAGCUCAGCAGGACCCGGGCCGAGCUGCUGCACAGCCAGAGGUCAGUUAUACAACCGGCGCUCGCAGAAACUGGACAAGAUGGAGAUCCUCACGCUGCAGUCCAGCCUGCACUCCGAGAUACAGGCCAAGCAGCAAGUCGGCGAGGAGCUCAGCAGGACCCGGGCCGAGCUGCUGCACAGCCAGAGGUCAGUUAUACAACCGGCGCUCGCAGAAACUGGACAAGAUGGAGAUCCUCACGCUGCAGUCCAGCCUGCACUCCGAGAUACAGGCCAAGCAGCAAGUCGGCGAGGAGCUCAGCAGGACCCGGGCCGAGCUGCUGCACAGCCAGAGGUCAGUUAUACAACCGGCGCUCGCAGAAACUGGACAAGAUGGAGAUCCUCACGCUGCAGUCCAGCCUGCACUCCGAGAUACAGGCCAAGCAGCAAGUCGGCGAGGAGCUCAGCAGGACCCGGGCCGAGCUGCUGCACAGCCAGAGGUCAGUUAUACAACCGGCGCUCGCAGAAACUGGACAAGAUGGAGAUCCUCACGCUGCAGUCCAGCCUGCACUCCGAGAUACAGGCCAAGCAGCAAGUCGGCGAGGAGCUCAGCAGGACCCGGGCCGAGCUGCUGCACAGCCAGAGGUCAGUUAUACAACCGGCGCUCGCAGAAACUGGACAAGAUGGAGAUCCUCACGCUGCAGUCCAGCCUGCACUCCGAGAUACAGGCCAAGCAGCAAGUCGGCGAGGAGCUCAGCAGGACCCGGGCCGAGCUGCUGCACAGCCAGAGGUCAGUUAUACAACCGGCGCUCGCAGAAACUGGACAAGAUGGAGAUCCUCACGCUGCAGUCCAGCCUGCACUCCGAGAUACAGGCCAAGCAGCAAGUCGGCGAGGAGCUCAGCAGGACCCGGGCCGAGCUGCUGCACAGCCAGAGGUCAGUUAUACAACCGGCGCUCGCAGAAACUGGACAAGAUGGAGAUCCUCACGCUGCAGUCCAGCCUGCACUCCGAGAUACAGGCCAAGCAGCAAGUCGGCGAGGAGCUCAGCAGGACCCGGGCCGAGCUGCUGCACAGCCAGAGGUCAGUUAUACAACCGGCGCUCGCAGAAACUGGACAAGAUGGAGAUCCUCACGCUGCAGUCCAGCCUGCACUCCGAGAUACAGGCCAAGCAGCAAGUCGGCGAGGAGCUCAGCAGGACCCGGGCCGAGCUGCUGCACAGCCAGAGGUCAGUUAUACAACCGGCGCUCGCAGAAACUGGACAAGAUGGAGAUCCUCACGCUGCAGUCCAGCCUGCACUCCGAGAUACAGGCCAAGCAGCAAGUCGGCGAGGAGCUCAGCAGGACCCGGGCCGAGCUGCUGCACAGCCAGAGGUCAGUUAUACAACCGGCGCUCGCAGAAACUGGACAAGAUGGAGAUCCUCACGCUGCAGUCCAGCCUGCACUCCGAGAUACAGGCCAAGCAGCAAGUCGGCGAGGAGCUCAGCAGGACCCGGGCCGAGCUGCUGCACAGCCAGAGGUCAGUUAUACAACCGGCGCUCGCAGAAACUGGACAAGAUGGAGAUCCUCACGCUGCAGUCCAGCCUGCACUCCGAGAUACAGGCCAAGCAGCAAGUCGGCGAGGAGCUCAGCAGGACCCGGGCCGAGCUGCUGCACAGCCAGAGGUCAGUUAUACAACCGGCGCUCGCAGAAACUGGACAAGAUGGAGAUCCUCACGCUGCAGUCCAGCCUGCACUCCGAGAUACAGGCCAAGCAGCAAGUCGGCGAGGAGCUCAGCAGGACCCGGGCCGAGCUGCUGCACAGCCAGAGGUCAGUUAUACAACCGGCGCUCGCAGAAACUGGACAAGAUGGAGAUCCUCACGCUGCAGUCCAGCCUGCACUCCGAGAUACAGGCCAAGCAGCAAGUCGGCGAGGAGCUCAGCAGGACCCGGGCCGAGCUGCUGCACAGCCAGAGGUCAGUUAUACAACCGGCGCUCGCAGAAACUGGACAAGAUGGAGAUCCUCACGCUGCAGUCCAGCCUGCACUCCGAGAUACAGGCCAAGCAGCAAGUCGGCGAGGAGCUCAGCAGGACCCGGGCCGAGCUGCUGCACAGCCAGAGGUCAGUUAUACAACCGGCGCUCGCAGAAACUGGACAAGAUGGAGAUCCUCACGCUGCAGUCCAGCCUGCACUCCGAGAUACAGGCCAAGCAGCAAGUCGGCGAGGAGCUCAGCAGGACCCGGGCCGAGCUGCUGCACAGCCAGAGGUCAGUUAUACAACCGGCGCUCGCAGAAACUGGACAAGAUGGAGAUCCUCACGCUGCAGUCCAGCCUGCACUCCGAGAUACAGGCCAAGCAGCAAGUCGGCGAGGAGCUCAGCAGGACCCGGGCCGAGCUGCUGCACAGCCAGAGGUCAGUUAUACAACCGGCGCUCGCAGAAACUGGACAAGAUGGAGAUCCUCACGCUGCAGUCCAGCCUGCACUCCGAGAUACAGGCCAAGCAGCAAGUCGGCGAGGAGCUCAGCAGGACCCGGGCCGAGCUGCUGCACAGCCAGAGGGAGCUUCUAGAAACCCGCCAGCGGCUAGACGCGCUCGCGCAUGACAUGAAGCGGAAAGAGCAACACAUUCGCGAGAUGCAGACGCGGCUCGACGCGCCGCACCAGCCCAACAAUUCCUUCCAACGUCGACAACGGCGAAAAAAACG